UGUGUUGAAAGGGCAAUAUGAUAGAAAUUCAGAAUCUGACAUUUAUUUUUCUUGGCUUUAUGAAAGUCAAACCUGAUGUAUUUCUAUUGAUAGUUUU
This is a small nucleolar RNA of Fukomys damarensis (Damara mole-rat), 97 nucleotides long. Lineage: Eukaryota; Metazoa; Chordata; Mammalia; Rodentia; Bathyergidae. The record is from Ensembl.